GGGGAAUUUUGCGCAAUGGGGGAAACCCUGACGCAGCAACGCCGCGUGGAGGACGAAGAUCUUCGGGUCGUAAACUCCUGUCGAGUGGGAAGAAUGCUUCGGGGGUGAAUAACCUCCGGAAUUGACGGUACCACUAAAGUAAGCACCGGCUACCUCCGUGCCAGCAGCCGCGGUAAUACGGCGGGUGCGAGCGUUGUCCGGAAUCAUUGGGCGUAAAGGGCGCGUAGGUGGCGGGACAAGCGUGCGGUGAAAGCUCGGGGCUCAACCCCGCGUCGGCCGUGCGAACUGUUUUGCUUGAGCACUGUAGAGGCAGGCGGAAUUCCGGGUGUAGCGGUGGAAUGCGUAGAGAUCCGGAAGAACACCGGUGGCGAAGGCGGCCUGCUGGGCAGUAGCUGACACUGAGGCGCGACAGCGUGGGGAGCAAAC
RNAcentral lists this ribosomal RNA (426 nucleotides) under uncultured bacterium. Its description in RNAcentral is "bacterial SSU rRNA". It matches the Rfam family "Bacterial small subunit ribosomal RNA", at positions 356 to 773 of the family's 1533-position model. The record is from RNAcentral.